GUAACCGUAGAGUUUGAUCCUGGCUCACGAAGUCGUAACAAGGGAUCCUGCAUAGGUAUUGAGUUGCGAACGGGUGAGUAACGCGUAGGUAACCUGCCUUGUAGCGGGGGAUAACUAUUGGAAACGAUAGCUAAUACCGCAUAACAAUGGAUGACCCAUGUCAUUUAUUUGAAAGGGGCAAAUGCUCCACUACAAGAUGGACCUGCGUUGUAUUAGCUAGUAGGUGAGGUAACGGGCUCACCUAGGCGACGGAUACAUAGCCCGACCUGAGAGGGGGGAUCGGCCACACCUGGGACUGAGACACGGCCCAGACUCCUUACGGGAGGCAGCAGUAGGGAAUUCUUCGGCAAUGGGGGCAACCCUGACCGAGCAACGCCGCGUGAGUGAAGAAGGUUUUCGGAUCGUAAAGCUCUGUUGUAAGUCAAGAACGAGUGUGAGAGUGGAAAGUUCACACUGUGACGGUAGCUUACCAGAAAGGGACGGCUAACUACGUGCCAGCAGCCGCGGUAAUACGUAGGUCCCGAGCGUUGUCCGGAUUUAUUGGGCGUAAAGCGAGCGCAGGCGGUUUGAUAAGUCUGAAGUUAAAGGCUGUGGCUCAACCAUAGUUCGCUUUGGAAACUGUCAAACUUGAGUGCAGAAGGGGAGAGUGGAAUUCCAUGUGUAGCGGUGAAAUGCGUAGAUAUAUGGAGGAACACCGGUGGCGAAAGCGGCUCUCUGGUCUGUAACUGACGCUGAGGCUCGAAAGCGUGGGGAGCGAACAGGAUUAGAUACCCUGGUAGUCCACGCCGUAAACGAUGAGUGCUAGGUGUUGGAUCCUUUCCGGGAUUCAGUGCCGCAGCUAACGCAUUAAGCACUCCGCCUGGGGAGUACGACCGCAAGGUUGAAACUCAAAGGAAUUGACGGGGGCCCGCACAAGCGGUGGAGCAUGUGGUUUAAUUCGAAGCAACCCGAAGAACCUUACCAGGUCUUGACAUCCCGAUGCUAUUUCUAAAGAUAGAAAGUUACUUCGGUACAUCGGUGACAGGUGGUGCAUGGUUGUCGUCAGCUCGUGUCGUGAGAUGUUGGGUUAAGUCCCGCAACGAGCGCAACCCCUAUUGUUAGUUGCCAUCAUUCAGUUGGGCACUCUAGCGAGACUGCCGGUAAUAAACCGGAGGAAGGUGGGGAUGACGUCAAAUCAUCAUGCCCCUUAUGACCUGGGCUACACACGUGCUACAAUGGUUGGUACAACGAGUUGCGAGUCGGUGACGGCAAGCUAAUCUCUUAAAGCCAAUCUCAGUUCGGAUUGUAGGCUGCAACUCGCCUACAUGAAGUCGGAAUCGCUAGUAAUCGCGGAUCAGCACGCCGCGGUGACAAGGUUCCCGUACAGUGUGCUCACGGCUCAGGAAGUCGUAACAAGGUAACCGUAGAGUUUGAUCCUGGCUCAGGAAGUCGUAACAAGGUAACCGUAGAG
RNAcentral lists this ribosomal RNA (1450 nucleotides) under Streptococcus salivarius. Its description in RNAcentral is "bacterial SSU rRNA". It matches the Rfam family "Bacterial small subunit ribosomal RNA". The record is from RNAcentral. Lineage: Bacteria; Bacillati; Bacillota; Bacilli; Lactobacillales; Streptococcaceae.